RNAcentral lists this ribosomal RNA (305 nucleotides) under uncultured bacterium. Its description in RNAcentral is "partial 16S ribosomal RNA". It matches the Rfam family "Bacterial small subunit ribosomal RNA", at positions 506 to 807 of the family's 1533-position model. The record is from RNAcentral.
ACAGCAGCAGCCACGGGAAUACAGAGGGUGCGAGCGUUAAUCGGAUUUACUGGGCGUAAAGCGUGCGUAGGCGGCUUUUUAAGUCGGAUGUGAAAUCCCUGAGCUUAACUUAGGAAUUGCAUUCGAUACUGGGAAGCUAGAGUAUGGGAGAGGAUGGUAGAAUUCCAGGUGUAGCGGUGAAAUGCGUAGAGAUCUGGAGGAAUACCGAUGGCGAAGGCAGCCAUCUGGCCUAAUACUGACGCUGAGGUACGAAAGCAUGGGGAGCAAACAGGAUUAGAUACCCCCGUAGUCCCUGUCUCUUAUAC